RNAcentral lists this non-coding RNA (115 nucleotides) under Nostocoides sp. Its description in RNAcentral is "Tetrasphaera sp. SAM-IV sequence". It matches the Rfam family "SAM (S-adenosyl methionine) riboswitch aptamer". From Rfam's summary of the family: SAM-IV is a mRNA element that regulates gene expression via direct sensing of S-adenosylmethionine (SAM or AdoMet). SAM-IV riboswitches share conserved nucleotide positions with the previously described SAM-I riboswitches sequence analysis and molecular recognition experiments suggest that SAM-I and SAM-IV riboswitches share similar ligand binding sites, but have different scaffolds. The record is from RNAcentral. Lineage: Bacteria; Bacillati; Actinomycetota; Actinomycetes; Micrococcales; Intrasporangiaceae.
GGUCAUGAGUCCCAGCGCCAAACCCCGGUUUGCUGGGCGGCAACCCUCCUCGCGGUGGGGUGCCCCGGGUGAUGACCCGGCCGUCUCCCCGGAUCCGGAGCGGCAAGCGCGAUUU